This 1179-nucleotide ribosomal RNA is filed under the name Hemitrichia minor. RNAcentral describes it as "SSU rRNA". It matches the Rfam family "Eukaryotic small subunit ribosomal RNA", at positions 26 to 1155 of the family's 1831-position model. Lineage: Eukaryota; Evosea; Eumycetozoa; Trichiida; Trichiidae. The record is from RNAcentral.
AUAUGCUUGUCCCGAAGCUUAAGCCAUGCAUGUGCCAGAAUAUAGUAGCUUGAUCUAGAAUCUGCGAACGGCUCCGUAUAUCUGUUAUAACCCUCCGUCGCCAAUUGUAAUCGGCAUAACCUCGGUAAUUCUGUGGCUAAUACGUGUAUCAACGGCCCCCCGCCGCAAGGCCGUGGGGGCCGUGGAGUUGCCGACCGACCGACGGCGGGGGCUUCGCCCCCGCUCGAGGGAGGACUGGCAAUCGACCUUACCGAGGGGGUAUUCCACGGUGCGUACGACGGGCACCAGACCUAUCAACUAGACGCCCAAGGAUAGCCUGGGCGUGGUUAUAACGGGUACAGAGGAUCAGGGUUCGGUCCUGGAGAGGUAGCCUGAGAGAUCGCUACUACUUCUAAGGAAGGCAGCAGGCGCGCAACGUUCCCAAUGGGGGCACCCUGAGGACGUGAAGGGACAUAUCAAUGCCCGGCCCUUAAAGCCGGGCAAUUGAAAUGGGGGACCUCUAAACCCCACACCGAGUAACAAUUGGAGGACAAGUCUGGUGCCAGCACCCGCGGUAAUUCCAGCUCCAAUAGCAUCUCAUUAAGUUGUUGCAGUUAAAACGCUCGUAGUUCAAGUAAGCGGUUGGGCUAGCCCCCUAGUACUGCGGUGUCGCCCUGCCCACGCCCUAACAGGGCGGGGGGUGGGGCCCCCGCGGGAACAGUCGUGGGCUCGGCCGCUAUCCUGCCCGGCACCCGGGUAAUCCGUAGCUUCAGUGUUGCGGCGUCCCGACCGGGCACUUUACUUUGAACAAACGUGAGCGCUCCAAGCAGGCCGACCAUCGGCCAUUGAAACCCGCAGCAAAGAAUAAUGGAACAGGUACCCACCUGCUUCGUUGGUUAGGGCGGGCCAAAUGAUCUAUAGGGGCGAUCGGGGCAGGCCAUAUGGCGGGGGUAGGGGUGAAAUCCGUUGAUCCUCGCCAGAUGAACAAGAGCGAAAGCAGCCUGCAAGUACGCCUCCGUUGAUCAAGAACGAAAGUCUGGGGAUCGAAGACGAUCAGAUACCGUCGUAGUCCAGACCCUAAAUCAUGCCGGCCAUGGAUGGGCGCAAGUCCAUCCCGACCCUGCCCGCACUUUAUGGGAAACCAUAAGCGUCUGGGCUCCGGGGGGAGUAUGGUCGCAAGACUGAAACUUAAAGGAAUUG